This 465-nucleotide ribosomal RNA is filed under the name Vreelandella stevensii. Its description in RNAcentral is "partial 16S ribosomal RNA". It matches the Rfam family "Bacterial small subunit ribosomal RNA", at positions 338 to 795 of the family's 1533-position model. Lineage: Bacteria; Pseudomonadati; Pseudomonadota; Gammaproteobacteria; Oceanospirillales; Halomonadaceae. The record is from RNAcentral.
CCUACGGGCGGCAGCAGUGGGGAAUAUUGGACAAUGGGCGAAAGCCUGAUCCAGCUAUGCCGCGUGUGUGAAGAAGGCCUUCGGGUUGUAAAGCACUUUCAGUGGGGAAGAAAGCCUUGGGGCUAAUACCCUCGAGGAAGGACAUCACCCACAGAAGAAGCACCGGCUAACUCCGUGCCAGCAGCCGCGGUAAUACGGAGGGUGCGAGCGUUAAUCGGAAUUACUGGGCGUAAAGCGCGCGUAGGCGGUCUGAUAAGCCGGUUGUGAAAGCCCCGGGCUCAACCUGGGAACGGCAUCCGGAACUGUCAGGCUAGAGUGCAGGAGAGGAAGGUAGAAUUCCCGGUGUAGCGGUGAAAUGCGUAGAGACCGGGAGGAAUACCAGUGGCGAAGGCGGCCUUCUGGACUGACACUGACGCUGAGGUGCGAAAGCGUGGGUAGCAAACAGGAUUAGAUACCCCAGUAGUC